RNAcentral lists this ribosomal RNA (469 nucleotides) under uncultured bacterium. RNAcentral describes it as "partial 16S ribosomal RNA". It matches the Rfam family "Bacterial small subunit ribosomal RNA", at positions 28 to 507 of the family's 1533-position model. The record is from RNAcentral.
GACGAACGCUGGCGGCGUGCUUAACACAUGCAAGUCGAACGGAAAGGCCCUGCUUGCAGCGUGCUCGAGUGGCGAACGGGUGAGUAACACGUGGGUGAUCUGCCCCUUACUUUGGGAUAAGCCUGGGAAACUGGGUCUAAUACUGGAUAGGACCAUGCUGUAGGUGGUGUGGUGGUAAGAUUAGUUUCGGUAAGGGAUGAGCUCGCGGCCUAUCAGCUUGUUGGUGGGGUAAUGGCCUACCAAGGCGUCGACGGGUAGCCUGCCUGAGAGGGUGGACGGCCACAUUGGGACUGAGAUACGGCCCAGACUCCUACGGGAGGCAGCAGUGGGGAAUAUUGCACAAUGGGCGAAAGCCUGAUGCAGCGACGGCGCGUGGGGGAUGACGGCCUUCGGGUUGUAAACUACUUUCAGCCAUGAAGAAGCCCUUGUGGUGACGGUAGUGGCAGAAGAAGCACCGGCUAACUACGUG